RNAcentral lists this long non-coding RNA (392 nucleotides) under Zonotrichia albicollis (white-throated sparrow). RNAcentral describes it as "lncRNA (ENSZALG00000004826.1)". Lineage: Eukaryota; Metazoa; Chordata; Aves; Passeriformes; Passerellidae. The record is from RNAcentral.
AUGUUUCAUGUUCACCAAGGACUGUCAAAUACUUUGGAGAAGAACCUGAAGAAUGCCACUUUGUUUUCCUUUCAUUCUUUUCUUAUGAACAAGCAAAGGCAAAAAAAGCUACAGAGUUUGUAUUGUGAGCAACAGAAGAUGCCAACAGCUUUUCUGAAAAUGGCCUCCCAGCACCAUGUGCAGCUGUGUGACGAUGUAGAGAGCCAGGAUUAUCAGAAGUGAAUAAUGAUUCUGUUACCCAAAUGAAACCUCUCCAUGUGUCAGACAGCAGGUAGAGUCAUAUCUUUAGCAUCAAUAUCUAAACACUUUGGAAAGAGCAUAAUUAACAUUUUUGGAAAAUCUUAUCAUUUAGGACAAGAGCUGCUGUUAGGCAAUGGUAAAGCCACUCACUG